CAUGCUAGGGGUGGCAAUCCAGCUCGCUGUUCGCAAACCAGCUCGUGUUCGGCUCGAAAUGAGCUCGAGAUCAAAUCGCUCGUUUAGUAAACGAGCCGAACACGAGNUUUAUAUUUUUAUAUAUAAAUAUAUAAUUAUAUAUAAUAUAUAUUUUUAUUAUUUAAUUUUUAGCAAAAGAAAAUUAUAAAUGCGAGCUUAAUUAUAAAAAGACUCAUUUGUAUGUAAAGUUUCAACUAUUAGAUUAAAGUCUAAUGAAUAAAAUUUUAUAAAUUUAAUUUUUUUAUAUAUAUUCAAUCUAAUUCUUUUUAACUUAUUGUUUGUUGGUCAGCUCGUGAGCCAGUUCGUAUUCGGCUCGUUUAUUAACGAGUGGAACACGAGCUGAAUUUUUGGCUCGAUCCUUUAACGAGCCAACUCGUGUUCGGCUCGUUUAUUAAACGAGCUGAAUAUGA
RNAcentral lists this long non-coding RNA (449 nucleotides) under Ananas comosus (pineapple). RNAcentral's name for it is "long non-coding RNA (ACOM_LNC002447)". Lineage: Eukaryota; Viridiplantae; Streptophyta; Magnoliopsida; Poales; Bromeliaceae. The record is from RNAcentral.